UGGGGAAUUUUGGACAAUGGGCGAAAGCCUGAUCCAGCCAUGCCGCGUGAGUGAAGAAGGCCUUCGGGUUGUAAAGCUCUUUUAGUCGGAAAGAAAGAGUUGCAAUGAAUAAUUGUGAUUUAUGACGGUACCGACAGAAAAAGCACCGGCUAACUACGUGCCAGCAGCCGCGGUAAUACGUAGGGUGCGAGCGUUAAUCGGAAUUACUGGGCGUAAAGGGUGCGCAGGCGGUCUUGCAAGUCAGAUGUGAAAGCCCCGGGCUUAACCUUGGAAUUGCGUUUGAAACAACAAGACUAGAGUGCAGCAGAGGGGAGUGGAAUUCCAUGUGUAGCAGUGAAAUGCGUAGAGAUGUGGAAGAACACCGAUGGCGAAGGCAGCUCCCUGGGUUGACACUGACGCUCAUGCACGAAAGCGUGGGGAGCAAACA
This 427-nucleotide ribosomal RNA is filed under the name uncultured bacterium. RNAcentral's name for it is "bacterial SSU rRNA". It matches the Rfam family "Bacterial small subunit ribosomal RNA", at positions 355 to 774 of the family's 1533-position model. The record is from RNAcentral.